CGUAGGGUCCGAGCGUUGUCCGGAAUUAUUGGGCGUAAAGAGCUCGUAGGCGGUUUGUCGCGUCUGCUGUGAAAUCCCGAGGCUCAACCUCGGGUCUGCAGUGGGUACGGGCAGACUGGAGUGCGGUAGGGGAGAAUGGAAUUCCUGGUGUAGCGGUGGAAUGCGCAGAUAUCAGGAGGAACACCGAUGGCGAAGGCAGUUCUCUGGGCCGUAACUGACGCUGAGGAGCGAAAGCGUGGGAGCGAACAGGAUU
RNAcentral lists this ribosomal RNA (253 nucleotides) under uncultured bacterium. RNAcentral describes it as "partial 16S ribosomal RNA". It matches the Rfam family "Bacterial small subunit ribosomal RNA", at positions 526 to 779 of the family's 1533-position model. The record is from RNAcentral.